UUUGGGGUUAGUGGUCUGAACUUGUCUCGGCGAAUAGCAGCAUUUGCAGAAGCAAAGGGAUGCAGCUUCAUCGCUCGGCUCUUUGAAGAUGAUGACACUCGAAGAAUUGUUUGUCCCUCAGCUGGAUUGCAGAGAAAAGGACAGAACAGGGGUCCCCGGAAAACAUUUCCAUCUACGUUUCCGCUCUACGUAGUGCUUGUGUGCCUUAUGUCCAGUAAUGUGGAUGCAUUAUGCAGAGUUAUGGAAGAGUCUAGACUUUAUGUGAAGAGUGUGAAGAGCCAAGUGAGCAUUCUUCCUGCCUGGAAGUGCAGUAUGAUGAGAAAGGAAGUCACAUCUUUGGAAACUAAGUGCAGCUGUGAGUAAGUCCAUGUGUCUGAAGGGGUCAAAAAGCAACCUCCUGCAAGCUAACGAAUUCACCUCUUUUCUUGUCCAAGCCUCAGUGCUGAGAGAGGAAAAAAAACUGCUGGCCUUCUCGGGACCGGCAGGAAGCAGUUUGCAGUCUCGCCCGGCAGCUCUUUUCUUUCAUCUGUGCCUGCGAACCCACUGCCAUCUGCUCUUUUGUGGCUCUGCUUCUGACUCCUACCGUGGCUUCUGGGGCUGUCCGCUUUGCUUUUUCAGGCACUGUGCGGGCCUUUUCCAGGCAUGCCUGAGGAUUUGAGGUGAGGUAGAAUGGGUGAGUGUAAUGGCGUGUCAGUUGUUUUACGGCUAGUCCGCAGUGCCUAGGAGAAGAGUAAUUUUGUUGUUUUGUUUUUUGCAGGUGUCAUGGGAUUACUUUCAGUCAGGAUGUGGGAGUAUCGCUUUGGCGCGGUGCAGGUGAUGAAGGUGAGCGAAGGAAGAUUAGAGAGGAUGUGGCUGCCAUUGAGUGAUGCCUCUUA
This is a long non-coding RNA of Dromaius novaehollandiae (emu), 875 nucleotides long. RefSeq lists it as uncharacterized. The record is from RefSeq and is a predicted model, not a curated record. The transcript is spliced from 4 exons. Lineage: Eukaryota; Metazoa; Chordata; Aves; Casuariiformes; Dromaiidae.